This is a non-coding RNA of Saimiri boliviensis boliviensis (Bolivian squirrel monkey), 1495 nucleotides long. Lineage: Eukaryota; Metazoa; Chordata; Mammalia; Primates; Cebidae. The record is from RefSeq and is a predicted model, not a curated record.
GCGAGGGUGGCGGUCCUGAGGCGGCGGGCUGCCGCGCUGGGGGCCGGCGGCGGCUGCGUGGGGAUGGGCUGCCCUUGGGCGUGGGCGCUGGCCGCGGGGUCCCCACGCUGACCCCCGAGGCGCCGGUAGCGGCCCCGCGCGCGGCCUUCCCAUCCAGGCCGCCCGUCUCGGGGCUCGUCCUUGGUCCGCGUGGCUUGGCGCGUCCGCGUUGACCGCUGUCUUCACUUUCGGGCUGCGCUGACCGCGAACGCUACGCCGGCCGUGGUGGCGGCGAGGCGCCUUUCUCGUACCUUGACGGUUGUUCACGCCUUUGCUUUAAAAUAUAGCCCUAGACGGACACGUGGUUGGCCCGGAAGGAGCCCCAGCAGCCACCUCGGACCGUGAGGUGACCUUGGAAGGCGGGAGGACGGACGAGGGGGAGCCUGGGGCCUGGCGGAGCCGCGAGCGCGUGGCGGUGUGUCCGGCGGCGCGGCGGCGGCUGGGGCGGGCCUGAGCGGCGCGGCCGUGAGUGAGGCUGGACUGUCGCCGCUCGGCGAGCCCCAGCAGUUCUGGCUCCGGAGGUCCACACCAGGCCGGCCGGAGCUUGGCGGGACCUCCGCUGCCUUCUGUCCCCGUCCGCGAGCUUCCUUCCCCUUGGUUUCGCGGGGGUGAUACCACGUAAACAUUGUCGUGCCCGCACUCAGCGCAGCAUCUGCUUCUGCAGAAACCGUUCUGCAGCCGUGACAGCUGUGAGACGAUGGGAUUGGAGGCGGCGUGACUCACCAGCGUGAAGCAGGGGGCGAACUAGUGAAGCGGAAUACCCGCGUGGGCCAUAUGAAACGAUCACAGAUCUUGCAGAGGAACCAUCUACAAGGGAACUUAGGCAUGCACACUCACACUUAACCUCUAGAAUUCUGACCACCAAGGAAGUACUUUUUCACUCUUUUGUGACGUUUCCUACCUUAGUCUGUGCACAGUUUGAAGCCUUUUUCCCUGCGUUGCUGAGAGACCUGGUUGAUUUAUUCCUCGCACCAGUGAAGUUUCCAUCUGUACACUUUAAGAAAAUAAACACAACAACAGGAAGCUUCUCUAUGGGUCCAUCCUGGAGGCAGGAAGGAUGGGUCUGCUGACAGGCACACGGCAGCACAGCCAGCGUCGUGUUACCUCACGAAGGUCACGUGCCUGAAACACACGAAGGGUUCCACGGAAAACACUCCAACUGGCUGUGCAGCCAUGCAUCAAGGGGCAGGCCAUCUCUAGGAAGUGCGAGGGGUCUCAGUUAAGACCUGCGUGGGGGUCCUGUCGGUUCUGAGAGCUGGCUGAGGAGGAAGGAGGGGAAGGAACCCUGGAGACCACCAGGUGUGACUCAGAGGGGCAAACUUUCCUGAUGACCAGAAUGCUGAAGAAUCAAAGCAUGUUAAUUCCAAGAAGCAACUAUUAAAAUGUGGAAGUCGAAACUGAUUAUAGCUGCCAGGCACAGUGCUCAGGCUACAGUCCCAAGUACUCAGGAGGAUGA